Molecule: ribosomal RNA, 265 nt
Filed under: uncultured bacterium
Lineage: Bacteria
Description: partial 16S ribosomal RNA
Rfam family: Bacterial small subunit ribosomal RNA
Source: RNAcentral
ACUGAGUGGCGGACGGGUGAGUAACGCGUGGGUAACCUGCCUCACACAGGGGGAUAACAGUUGGAAACGGCUGCUAAUACCGCAUAAGCGCACAGUACCGCAUGGUACAGUGUGAAAAACUCCGGUGGUAUAAGAUGGACCCGCGUUGGAUUAGCUAGUUGGUGGGGUAACGGCCCACCAAGGCGACGAUCCAUAGCCGGCCUGAGAGGGUGAACGGCCACAUUGGAACUGAGACACGGUCCAAACUCCUACGGGAGGCAGCAUG